GGUAGUAGCAAAUACUCCAGCGAGGCCCUGGAGGACUGAUGUGGAGAAGGGUUUCUUGUGAACAGCUGUUGCACAAGAGUCAGUCGAUCCUAAGCCCUAGGAGAAAUCCGAAGCGAUAUGCGCCCGUUAAAUAAUUUUUUUUUAUUAAAUGUUUGGCGCUAUCUGGGCGAAAGGGAAUCCGGUUCCUAUUCCGGAACCCGGCAGCGGAACCGUUCCAAAUCGGGCUCUCAUUUGAGAACUCGUCGGGGUAACCCGACAAGACCCGGAGACGCCGUAGGGAAAUUCGGAGAGAGUUGUCUCUUCUCUAUAAGCGUUCGAGUUCCCUGGAAACCUCUAGCAGGGAGAUAGGGUUUGGAACGCGAAGAGCACCGCAGUUACGGCGGUGUCCGGAUCUUCCCUACGGACCUUGAAAAUCCGGGAGAGAGCCACGAGGAACCCCGCGCCGGCUCGUACCCAUAUCCGCAGCAGGUCUCCAAGGUCAAUAGCCUCUAGUC
This 494-nucleotide ribosomal RNA is filed under the name Rhodnius prolixus. Its description in RNAcentral is "eukaryotic large subunit ribosomal RNA". It matches the Rfam family "Eukaryotic large subunit ribosomal RNA", at positions 1456 to 1888 of the family's 3401-position model. The record is from Rfam by way of RNAcentral. Lineage: Eukaryota; Metazoa; Arthropoda; Insecta; Hemiptera; Reduviidae.